CCCUUUGGGGUGUGACUGCGUACCUUUUGUAUAAUGGGUCAGCGACUUAUAUUCUGUAGCAAGGUUAACCGUAUAGGGGAGCCGGAGGGAAACCGAGUCUUAACCGGGCGUUAAGUUGCAGGGUAUAGACCCGAAACCCGGUGAUCUAGCCAUGGGCAGGUUGAAGGUUGGGUAACACUAACUGGAGGACCGAACCGACUAAUGUUGAAAAAUUAGCGGAUGACCUGUGGCUGGGGGUGAAAGGCCAAUCAAACCGGGAGAUAGCUGGUUCUCCCCGAAAGCUAUUUAGGUAGCGCCUCGUGAAUUCAUCUCCGGGGGUAGAGCACUGUUUCGGCUAGGGGGCCAUCCCGGCUUACCAACCCGAUGCAAACUGCGAAUACCGGAGAAUGUUAUCACGGGAGACACACGGCGGGUGCUAACGUCCGUCGUGAAGAGGGAAACAACCCAGACCGCCAGCUAAGGUCCCAAAGUCAUGGUUAAGUGGGAAACGAUGUGGGAAGGCCCAGACAGCCAGGAUGUUGGCUUAGAAGCAGCCAUCAUUUAAAGAAAGCGUAAUAGCUCACUGGUCGAGUCGGCCUGCGCGGAAGAUGUAACGGGGCUAAACCAUGCACCGAAGCUGCGGCAGCGAACGUAUCACUUAAAGCGAUUCAGCGGGUUACGAUUGACGGAGCGAAGCGACGUCAAAGCGUAUACAAAGUCGAGUCGGUUUAAGGAUACGUUCGUUGGGUAGGGGAGCGUUCUGUAAGCCUGUGAAGGUGGCCUGUGAGGGUUGCUGGAGGUAUCAGAAGUGCGAAUGCUGACAUAAGUAACGAUAAAGCGGGUGAAAAGCCCGCUCGCCGGAAGACCAAGGGUUCCUGUCCAACGUUAAUCGGGGCAGGGUGAGUCGACCCCUAAGGCGAGGCCGAAAGGCGUAGUCGAUGGGAAACGGGUUAAUAUUCCCGUACUUGGUGUUACUGCGAAGGGGGGACGGAGAAGGCUAUGUUGGCCGGGCGACGGUUGUCCCGGUUUAAGCGUGUAGGUGUGUGUUCCAGGUAAAUCCGGUUCACUUUAACACUGAGGCGUGACGACGAGGCACUACGGUGCUGAAGCAACAAAUGCCCUGCUUCCAGGAAAAGCCUCUAAGCAUCAGGUAACAUCAAAUCGUACCCCAAACCGACACAGGUGGUCAGGUAGAGAAUACCAAGGCGCUUGAGAGAACUCGGGUGAAGGAACUAGGCAAAAUGGUGCCGUAACU
Molecule: ribosomal RNA, 1234 nt
Filed under: Salmonella enterica subsp. enterica serovar Panama
Lineage: Bacteria; Pseudomonadati; Pseudomonadota; Gammaproteobacteria; Enterobacterales; Enterobacteriaceae
Also listed under: 1 other name
Description: partial 23S ribosomal RNA
Rfam family: Bacterial large subunit ribosomal RNA
Source: RNAcentral